CCAAUAGCGUAUAUUAAAGUUGUUGCAGUUAAAAAGCUCGUAGUUGAACCUCGGGGUCUACCCAUUGGUCAGGCUUAAUUGUCUGCACUGGUGAGAUGGAUCUCUACCUUCUGAGGAACUUUCAUGCCAUUUAUUUGGUGUGAUGGGAAAUCAGGACUGUUACUUUGAAAAAAUUAGAGUGUUUAAAGCAGACUAUCGUCUGAAUACAUUAGCAUGGAAUAAUGAAAUAGGACGGACUGAUUCUAUUUCGUUGGUUUCUAGGAUCACCGUAAUGAUUAAUAGGGAUAGUUGGGGGCAUUAGUAUGCAAUUGUCAGAGGUGAAAUUCUUGGAUUUAUUGAAGACUAACUACUGCGAAAGCAUUUGCCAAGGAUGUUUUCAUUAAUCAAGAACGAAAGUUAGGGGAUCGAAGACGAUCAGAUACCGUCGUAGUCUUAACCAUAAACUAUGCCGACUAGGGAUCGGACGAAGUUAAUUUUAUAAUGACGCGUUCGGCACCUUACG
This 502-nucleotide ribosomal RNA is filed under the name uncultured Glomeromycotina. RNAcentral's name for it is "partial small subunit ribosomal RNA". It matches the Rfam family "Eukaryotic small subunit ribosomal RNA", at positions 591 to 1092 of the family's 1831-position model. The record is from RNAcentral. Lineage: Eukaryota; Fungi; Glomeromycota.